AGUGGAUGUACACAGAAUGCCCCAUGGGCAGGCACAGGUGGCAGCUAAUUCCAGCCGGGCUUGCCUGGGGAUUCCUUAUGUGACACCCACUGUAGACGCAGCCUGCAGCUGUUUUCUUCUGCGAUCACCUCCGCCUUACAAAGGAAGGCCAUGCACUCCUGCGUGAAGGGCUGCUCUUUGCUUCUGGUCCAGACCUGCUCAGACUCCAUCACACCCAUGGCGUGGCUUUGAGACGAUACUCAUCAGGCUCCCUGAGCUGCUCGGGGACAGGCCACUGUGAGAAUUCCACUUUGAUUUUCAAGCAGCUGAGAAACCAGAGACGUGGUGAAUCCCCUCAGCCCUCCGCUCGGAAUAAGCUCUCUGUCUGGUGAGAGCAGUCACUCCUCCUGUUCUUUGAGGACAAGACCAGUAAAAGACUUGAGUCACCAUUUCCAAAGAAAAACAAGAAGAAUGCAAAUUCCUCAGCUUAAAAAUAUAUACAAAGGGACUGAUUCGAUAUAACUCUCUGGAGUAAGAAGAGCUGUGACUUCCAUUGGCUGGUGCUGUUUAGAGAAGGAUCGCUGUGCUGAAGUUGAAAAAGAAUGUAUUCAGCUUUGAUAUUUGAAGGAAGUGUCCCAACCAUCAUGUAUUUCUGCCUGGUUUUCUUUUAGAAUGCAGCAGCUGGAGUCGACAUUAAAGAGCGCCGUUUCCCAUUUGCUGCGGAAGAUGUUUAAUUGGAAGUCUCUCCCUGCCCCUCGUUUUCAGGAAAAUCACGCUGGUAGGCUUCAAGUGGCCAUGGUGGGAGCAUUGACCCAGGGAAAUCCACAUUUCCCAACACGUGCUGGAUAUCUGAGGACUCCAGAGCUACUGUCUGCUCAACAUUAAAAAACAAACAAACAAACAAACAAAAAACCUCACAUUUUUAAGUGAAACAGGUUUAUUGGCAGAUUUCUUAACUCAAUUUGCAAGGAUACCUUAGACCAGGGGUCGACAAACUACAUUCCACAGAACAAAGCUGCCCAUUACUUGUCUUUUUUUUUUUUUUUUGAGAUGGAGUCUCACUCUUGUUGCCCAGGCUGGAGCGCAGUGGUGUGAUCUCAGCUCACUGCAACCUCCACCUCCCUGGUUCAAGCGAUUCCCCUGCCUCAACCUCCCAAGUAGCUGGGAUUACAGGCACAUGCCACUAUGCCCAGCUGAUGUUCUUGUAUUUUUAGUAGAGAUGGGGUUUCACCAUGUUGGCCAGACUGGUCUCGAAUUCCUGACCUCAGGUGAUCCACUGCCUUGGCCUCCCAAAGUGCUGGGAUUACAGACGUGAUCCUAAGUACAGUUUUAUAGGACAACCAUGCUCAUUCAUUUCCGUAUCAUCCAAGGCUGCUCUACAGCAGCAGAGUUUAGUGGUUGGGACAGAACCUGCACAACCUGCGCAACCUGCAAAGGCUGAAUAUUUACUCUCCAGCUCUUUAGAGAAAGUUUGCAACUCCUACUUUAGACUGAUGCUUCUUCAAUACUAAUGUGCCAGUCACCAAAUCCCAGGCUACAACCAUAAACCACAGCUGAAAGGAAACUCGGUAGCACUUGCCUUCAAUAGCAGAUGCUGUAAAAGGAAAGCAAGGUGACCAAGAAAACAUUGCAAAACUCUGGACAGAAUCUGGGGCCUGAAGACUCUGAGUCAGAGGCCUCUUUUUGCUCUAAACACGUAUUAGCAAGAGUCCAAGAGGCAUCGAAGAUGAGUUAGCAGCAAAAUGGGGCUUUGUCCUUCAUGUAUAAAGGAUUAAACGAUAAUUGAAAAUGCAAUAACUUUCACCCUGUGGGAUUCAGUGAUGUUCAGUGCUGUGAUUACGUCCAACCUCAAAUCUAACUGUCCCAAGUGGGACAGCCCAAACAUAGGGAGCCACUGCACUAAGAUGGUGUGAUUUAUUAAGAUAAUAAAGCUAGCGGGAUGACAAAUGUUUCCUUUUUUCCCCCUAUAUGUUUCCCCCAAAGGACCGUCUGCUUUUGCAUGUGAUUUGACUAUCCGCUGCAGACCUAGCAUGGUAUAUCAGCAAAGUGGAAAAGUAACUGAAGUGAUUGUUUAUCAUCUUGUACUAAGUUACACCACUUUAAGCUUUAACUCCACAGCUCUUGCAUUAUUUUAAAACCGUCUGGCAGAUCUCUAAAACUAAUGGUACAAACCACUCUGUGAUACAUUAAAAUACAUUCCACUCUGUCAUACUGCAAACAAGUAGCUGCUCCCCAGUCUUUGAAAAAGUACUUUCAAGAUAAAAUAUGUACUCAUGGGUUCUGCAGGUUUUUAAAAUGUCUUGAAUCUUCACAGAUUUAGUCGGGGGGAGGGGGUGUUUCAUGUAAAAUGUGUUUUUCCUUGACAUUUAGAGGUCUUGCAAAGUGGUUUAUUAUAGAUCUUGUGGACAUCUUGCUAUUUAAUUAAAUUUCAGAAAUAUAUUCUCUGCACUCAUAAGAAGAGUGUAUUUGUUCACUGUCUAUUUAUUCUUUUUCUGUUUCUAACACAAAAUUAUCAGCUCAAAAUAAGUCAUCAGAGGCACUUAAAAUUUUUCAGGGUCAGAAAUCUAAUUAACCUCAGCAACUCUGCUUAAAAUGUUGAAUAAUAUAAGACAAGUCCUUACAGGAAUCUUUGGUAAUAUUCAGUCUUGGUGAUAUAUUUACAAUUAUUUUUUAAAAAACUGACCCUCAAUGUCUAUUUUCAAAAGACAUAAGGGAAUGGAAAGCAGAUUGAGAAACAAGUCACUUGUGAGGUCUCAUCCAAUACAUUUCAGUAAAUUUUUGCUGGAUGUAAGCAGCUGAAUUUGUAAACUAUUUCAUUACCUUACAUUUUAUAGAGAAAAUUAAGAGUAAGUUCACAGUAAAUGAACCUCUCAUCUGAAAAUAGCUCUUUCUUCUCAUUUAAACCUAAAAUCAGAAGGAUACAACUGAAAUGUGUUCAACCCAACACAUUUUGAGAUAAAUACAUUUCACAACUGUCUUAUUGGUGGAUUUGCUUAGCAAGAUUUGAGCAUUUGUUAUCCUCUGAUGAAUUCAGAGGAGU
This 3019-nucleotide long non-coding RNA is filed under the name Macaca mulatta (Rhesus monkey). RNAcentral describes it as "lncRNA (ENSMMUG00000055189.1)". Lineage: Eukaryota; Metazoa; Chordata; Mammalia; Primates; Cercopithecidae. The record is from RNAcentral.